CGUAGGUGGCAAGCGUUGUCCGGAUUUAUUGGGUUUAAAGGGUGCGUAGCGGCCCUGUAAGUCAGUGGUGAAAUACUCCAGCUUAACUGGAGGGGUGCCAUUGAUACUGCAGGGCUUGAGUACAGAUGAAGUAGGCGGAAUUGACGGUGUAGCGGUGAAAUGCAUAGAUAUCGUCAAGAACUCCGAUAGCGAAGGCAGCUUACUAAGCUGUAACUGACGCUGAGGCACGAAAGUGUGGGGAUCAAACAGGAUUAGAUACCCUGGUAGUCCACACUGUAAACGUUGAUGACUCGAUGUUGGCGAUACACAGCCAGCGUCCAAGAGCAAUCGUUAAGUCAUCCACCUGGGGAGUACGCCGGCAACGGUG
RNAcentral lists this ribosomal RNA (367 nucleotides) under uncultured organism. Its description in RNAcentral is "bacterial SSU rRNA". It matches the Rfam family "Bacterial small subunit ribosomal RNA", at positions 526 to 896 of the family's 1533-position model. The record is from RNAcentral.